GGAUGUGAGGGCGAUCUGGCUGCGACAUCUGUCACCCCAUUGAUCGCCAGGGUUGAUUCGGCUGAUCUGGCUGGCUAGGCGGGUGUCCCCUUCCUCCCUCACCGCUCCAUGUGCGUCCCUCCCGAAGCUGCGCGCUCGGUCGAAGAGGACGACCUUCCCCGAUAGAGACGUACCGUUCAUCGGUCAAGGGUAUACGGUAGCUGCGCUCCCCUGCUAGAACCUCCAAACAAGCUCAAGGUCCAUUUGUAGGAGAACGUAGGGUAGUCAAGCUUCCAAGACUGCAGACACAUCCAAGUGAGGCACUGCAUGGGGCAGUCUGCCAUUGUUU
Charadrius vociferus (killdeer) is the source of this 328-nucleotide non-coding RNA. NCBI's taxonomy places the organism in Eukaryota, Metazoa, Chordata, Aves, Charadriiformes, Charadriidae. The record is from Rfam.